Molecule: ribosomal RNA, 504 nt
Filed under: Gloeophyllum trabeum
Lineage: Eukaryota; Fungi; Basidiomycota; Agaricomycetes; Gloeophyllales; Gloeophyllaceae
Description: SSU rRNA
Rfam family: Eukaryotic small subunit ribosomal RNA
Source: RNAcentral
AUUGGAGGGCAAGUCUGGUGCCAGCAGCCGCGGUAAUUCCAGCUCCAAUAGCGUAUAUUAAAGUUGUUGCAGUUAAAAAGCCCGUAGUUGAACUUCAGACCUGGCUGGGCGGUCUGCCUAACGGUAUGUACUGUCUGGCCGGGUCUUACCUCUUGGUGAGCCGGCAUGCCCUUCACUGGGUGUGUCGGGGAACCAGGACUUUUACCUUGAGAAAAUUAGAGUGUUCAAAGCAGGCCUAUGCCCGAAUACAUUAGCAUGGAAUAAUAAAAUAGGACGUGCGGUUCUAUUUUGUUGGUUUCUAGAGUCGCCGUAAUGAUUAAUAGGGAUAGUUGGGGGCAUUAGUAUUCAGUUGCUAGAGGUGAAAUUCUUGGAUUUACUGAAGACUAACUACUGCGAAAGCAUUUGCCAAGGAUGUUUUCAUUAAUCAAGGACGAAGGUUAGGGGAUCGAAAACGAUCAGAUACCGUUGUAGUCUUAACAGUAAACUAUGCCGACUAGGGAUCGG